UACAGAGGAGCCAAGCGUUGUCCGGAUUGACUGGGCGUAAAGCGCACGCAGGCGGACGCGCGCGUGGGGUGUGAAAUCUGGCCGCUUAACGGCCAGGCGCCAUCCCAUACGGCGCGUCUGGAGUGAUGCAGAGGUCGAUGGAAUUGCCGGUGUAGUGGUGAAAUGCGUAGAGAUCGGCAGGAACACCCAGGGGGAAACCAGUCGACUGGGCAUCUACUGACGCUGAGGUGCGAAAGCGUGGGGAGCGAACAGG
RNAcentral lists this ribosomal RNA (253 nucleotides) under uncultured bacterium. RNAcentral describes it as "partial 16S ribosomal RNA". It matches the Rfam family "Bacterial small subunit ribosomal RNA", at positions 524 to 776 of the family's 1533-position model. The record is from RNAcentral.